AUUGAACGCUGGCGGCAUGCCUUACACAUGCAAGUCGAACGGCAGCGCGGGAGCAAUCCUGGCGGCGAGUGGCGAACGGGUGAGUAAUAUAUCGGAACGUGCCCAUUAGUGGGGGAUAGCCCGGCGAAAGCCGGAUUAAUACCGCAUACGACCUGAGGGUGAAAGCGGGGGAUCGCAAGACCUCGCGCUAUUGGAGCGGCCGAUAUCAGAUUAGCUAGUUGGUGGGGUAAAGGCCUACCAAGGCAACGAUCUGUAGUUGGUCUGAGAGGACGACCAGCCACACUGGUACUGAGACACGGCCGAGACUCUUACGGGGGGCAGCAGUGGGGAAAUUUGGACAAUGGGCGCAAGCCUGAUCCAGCAAUGCCGCGUGCAGGAAGAAGGCCUUCGGGUUGUAAACUGCUUUUGUCAGGGAAGAAAUCCUUUGGGCUAAUACCUCGGAGGGAUGACGGUACCUGAAGAAUAAGCACCGGCUAACUACGUGCCAGCCGCCGCCGUAA
This 500-nucleotide ribosomal RNA is filed under the name uncultured bacterium. RNAcentral's name for it is "partial 16S ribosomal RNA". It matches the Rfam family "Bacterial small subunit ribosomal RNA", at positions 30 to 523 of the family's 1533-position model. The record is from RNAcentral.